CUUGGUCAUUUAGAGGAAGUAAAAGUCGUAACAAGGUCUCCGUUGGUGAACCAGCGGAGGGAUCAUUACCGAGUUUACAACUCCCAAACCCCUGUGAACAUACCUAUACGUUGCCUCGGCGGAUCAGCCCGCGCCCCGUAAAACGGGACGGCCCGCCCGAGGACCCCUAAACUCUGUUUUUAGUGGAACUUCUGAGUAAAACAAACAAAUAAAUCAAAACUUUCAACAACGGAUCUCUUGGUUCUGGCAUCGAUGAAGAACGCAGCAAAAUGCGAUAAGUAAUGUGAAUUGCAGAAUUCAGUGAAUCAUCGAAUCUUUGAACGCACAUUGCGCCCCCUGGUAUUCCGGGGGGCAUGCCUGUUCGAGCGUCAUUUCACCACUCAAGCCUCGCUUGGUAUUGGGCAACGCGGUCCGCCGCGUGCCUCAAAUCGACCGGCUGGGUCUUCUGUCCCCUAAGCGUUGUGGAAACUAUUCGCUAAAGGGUGCUCGGGAGGCUACGCCGUAAAACAAACCCAUUUCUAAGGUUGACCUCGGAUCAGGUAGGGAUACCCGCUGAACUUAAGCAUAUCAAUAAGCGGAGGA
RNAcentral lists this ribosomal RNA (582 nucleotides) under uncultured fungus. RNAcentral's name for it is "eukaryotic LSU rRNA". The stretch from base 218 to 371 matches the Rfam family "5.8S ribosomal RNA". Lineage: Eukaryota; Fungi. The record is from RNAcentral.